This 228-nucleotide unclassified non-coding RNA is filed under the name Hevea brasiliensis (rubber tree). The record is from RNAcentral. Lineage: Eukaryota; Viridiplantae; Streptophyta; Magnoliopsida; Malpighiales; Euphorbiaceae.
CGGGAGAGGAAGAUCUUUAAGAAUUAUCACAUUAAUUUGUGUUCAUUAACUUAUCAAUUAUAUUUAUCUUUGGAUAUGACAUAAUUAUGAACUCAACGUAUCUUAAAUGAAAUUUGGGGAGAUUUAAAUGUGAUAUGAUGAUUUAUGGUACUGCAUAUUGCAUCUACUCUAAUUCUGCCAAUCGAGCGUUUAUAUAAUCCUAAUAGAUAUAUAGCACUUGACCUCUCG